This 516-nucleotide ribosomal RNA is filed under the name Botrytis cinerea. RNAcentral describes it as "eukaryotic LSU rRNA". The stretch from base 164 to 317 matches the Rfam family "5.8S ribosomal RNA". The record is from RNAcentral. Lineage: Eukaryota; Fungi; Ascomycota; Leotiomycetes; Helotiales; Sclerotiniaceae.
UGCGGAAGGAUCAUUACAGAGUUCAUGCCCGAAAGGGUAGACCUCCCACCCUUGUGUAUUAUUACUUUGUUGCUUUGGCGAGCUGCCUUCGGGCCUUGUAUGCUCGCCAGAGAAUACCAAAACUCUUUUUAUUAAUGUCGUCUGAGUACUAUAUAAUAGUUAAAACUUUCAACAACGGAUCUCUUGGUUCUGGCAUCGAUGAAGAACGCAGCGAAAUGCGAUAAGUAAUGUGAAUUGCAGAAUUCAGUGAAUCAUCGAAUCUUUGAACGCACAUUGCGCCCCUUGGUAUUCCGGGGGGCAUGCCUGUUCGAGCGUCAUUUCAACCCUCAAGCUUAGCUUGGUAUUGAGUCUAUGUCAGUAAUGGCAGGCUCUAAAAUCAGUGGCGGCGCCGCUGGGUCCUGAACGUAGUAAUAUCUCUCGUUACAGGUUCUCGGUGUGCUUCUGCCAAAACCCAAAUUUUUCUAUGGUUGACCUCGGAUCAGGUAGGGAUACCCGCUGAACUUAAGCAUAUCAAUA